RNAcentral lists this ribosomal RNA (240 nucleotides) under uncultured Lactobacillus sp. RNAcentral's name for it is "partial 16S ribosomal RNA". It matches the Rfam family "Bacterial small subunit ribosomal RNA", at positions 122 to 355 of the family's 1533-position model. The record is from RNAcentral. Lineage: Bacteria; Bacillati; Bacillota; Bacilli; Lactobacillales; Lactobacillaceae.
UAACCUGCCCAAGAGAUCGGGAUAACACCUGGAAACAGAUGCUAAUACCGGAUAACAACAGAUGAUGCCUAUCAACUGUUUAAAAGAUGGUUCUGCUAUCACUCUUGGAUGGACCUGCGGUGCAUUAGCUAGUUGGUAGGGUAACGGCCUACCAAGGCGAUGAUGCAUAGCCGAGUUGAGAGACUGAUCGGCCACAUUGGGACUGAGACACGGCCCAAACUCCUACCGGGAGGCAGCAGC